GCGGACUGCUCAGUAACACGUGGAUAACCUGCCCUAAGGUGGAGGAUAACCCCGGGAAACUGGGGAUAAUACUCCAUAGGUUAAAGGUACUGGAAUGUUCUUUAACCGAAAGUUCCGGCGCCUUAGGAUGGAUCUGCGGCCGAUUAGGUUGUUGUUGGGGUAGCGGCCCAACAAGCCUGUAAUCGGUACGGGUUGUGGGAGCAAGAGCCCGGAGAUGGAAUCUGAGACACGAUUCCAGGCCCUACGGGGCGCAGCAGGCGCGAAAACUUUACAAUGCAGGAAACUGUGAUAAGGGAACCCCGAGUGCCCGUAUAUGCUGGCUGUCCGGAUGUUUAAAACGCAUCCGAAGAAAGGGCCGGGCAAGACCGGUGCCAGCCGCCGCGGUAAUACCGGCGGCUCGAGUGGUGGCCACUUUUAUUGGGCUUAAAGCGUUCGUAGCUUGAAUAAUAAGUCUCUUGGGGAAUCUGCAGGCUUAACCUGCAGGCGUUUAAGAGAAACUGUUGUUCUUGGAACCGGAAGAGGUGAGAGGUACUCCGGGGGUAGGAGUGAAAUCCUGUAAUCCCCGGGGGACCACCGAUGGCGAAGGCAUCUCACCAGGAC
RNAcentral lists this ribosomal RNA (600 nucleotides) under uncultured archaeon. RNAcentral's name for it is "bacterial SSU rRNA". It matches the Rfam family "Archaeal small subunit ribosomal RNA", at positions 81 to 686 of the family's 1478-position model. The record is from RNAcentral.